UGGCUCAGAUUGAACGCUGGCGGCAGGCCUAACACAUGCAAGUCGAGCGGAUGAAGGGAGCUUGCUCCUGGAUUCAGCGGCGGACGGGUGAGUAAUGCCUAGGAAUCUGCCUGGUAGUGGGGGAUAACGUCCGGAAACGGGCGCUAAUACCGCAUACGUCCUGAGGGAGAAAGUGGGGGAUCUUCGGACCUCACGCUAUCAGAUGAGCCUAGGUCGGAUUAGCUAGUUGGUGGGGUAAAGGCCUACCAAGGCGACGAUCCGUAACUGGUCUGAGAGGAUGAUCAGUCACACUGGAACUGAGACACGGUCCAGACUCCUACGGGAGGCAGCAGUGGGGAAUAUUGGACAAUGGGCGAAAGCCUGAUCCAGCCAUGCCGCGUGUGUGAAGAAGGUCUUCGGAUUGUAAAGCACUUUAAGUUGGGAGGAAGGGCAGUAAGUUAAUACCUUGCUGUUUUGACGUUACCAACAGAAUAAGCACCGGCUAACUUCGUGCCAGCAGCCGCGGUAAUACGAAGGGUGCAAGCGUUAAUCGGAAUUACUGGGCGUAAAGCGCGCGUAGGUGGUUCAGCAAGUUGGAUGUGAAAUCCCCGGGCUCAACCUGGGAACUGCAUCCAAAACUACUGAGCUAGAGUACGGUAGAGGGUGGUGGAAUUUCCUGUGUAGCGGUGAAAUGCGUAGAUAUAGGAAGGAACACCAGUGGCGAAGGCGACCACCUGGACUGAUACUGACACUGAGGUGCGAAAGCGCGGGGAGCAAACAGGAUUAGAUACCCUGGUAGUCCACGCCGUAAACGAUGUCGACUAGCCGUUGGGAUCCUUGAGAUCUUAGUGGCGCAGCUAACGCGAUAAGUCGACCGCCUGGGGAGUACGGCCGCAAGGUUAAAACUCAAAUGAAUUGACGGGGGCCCGCACAAGCGGUGGAGCAUGUGGUUUAAUUCGAGCAACGCGAAGAACCUUACCUGGCCUUGACAUGCUGAGAACUUUCCAGAGAUGGAUUGGUGCCUUCGGGAACUCAGACACAGGUGCUGCAUGGCUGUCGUCAGCUCGUGUCNUGAGAUGUUGGGUUAAGUCCCGUAACGAGCGCAACCCUUGUCCUUAGUUACCAGCACCUCGGGUGGGCACUCUAAGGAGACUGCCGGUGACAAACCGGAGGAAGGUGGGGAUGACGUCAAGUCAUCAUGGCCCUUACGGCCAGGGCUACACACGUGCUACAAUGGUCGGUACAAAGGGUUGCCAAGCCGCGAGGUGGAGCUAAUCCCAUAAAACCGAUCGUAGUCCGGAUCGCAGUCUGCAACUCGACUGCGUGAAGUCGGAAUCGCUAGUAAUCGUGAAUCAGAAUGUCACGGUGAAUACGUUCCCGGGCCUUGUACACACCGCCCGUCACACCAUGGGAGUGGGUUGCUCCAGAGGUAGCUAGUCUAACCGCAAGGGGGACGGUUACCACGGAGUGAUUCAUGACUGGGGUGAAGUCGUAACAAGGUAGCCGUAGGGGAACCUGCG
RNAcentral lists this ribosomal RNA (1499 nucleotides) under Pseudomonas aeruginosa. Its description in RNAcentral is "16S ribosomal RNA". It matches the Rfam family "Bacterial small subunit ribosomal RNA". The record is from RNAcentral. Lineage: Bacteria; Pseudomonadati; Pseudomonadota; Gammaproteobacteria; Pseudomonadales; Pseudomonadaceae.